This 497-nucleotide ribosomal RNA is filed under the name uncultured bacterium. RNAcentral describes it as "partial 16S ribosomal RNA". It matches the Rfam family "Bacterial small subunit ribosomal RNA", at positions 28 to 507 of the family's 1533-position model. The record is from RNAcentral.
GAUGAACGCUGGCGGCGUGCCUAAUACAUGCAAGUCGAGCGAACAGACGAGGAGCUUGCUCCUCUGACGUUAGCGGCGGACGGGUGAGUAACACGUGGAUAACCUACCUAUAAGACUGGGAUAACUUCGGGAAACCGGAGCUAAUACGGGAUAAUAUAUUUAACCGAAUGGUUCAAUGGUGAAAGACGGGUUUGCGGUCACUUAUAGAUGGAUCCGCGCCGCAUUAGCUAGUUGGUAAGGUAACGGCUUACCAAGGCAACGAUGCGUAGCCGACCUGAGAGGGUGAUCGGCCACACUGGAACUGAGACACGGUCCAGACUCCUACGGGAGGCAGCAGUAGGGAAUCUUCCGCAAUGGGCGAAAGCCUGACGGAGCAACGCCGCGUGAGUGAUGAAGGUCUUCGGAUCGUAAAACUCUGUUAUUAGGGAAGAACAAAUGUGUAAGUAACUAUGCACGUCUUGACGGUACCUAAUCAGAGAGCCACGGCUAACUACGUG